AACGAACGCUGGUGGCGUGCUUAACACAUGCAAGUCGAACGAGAACGUUUCCUUCGGGAAAUUAGUAAAGUGGCGCAAGGGUGAGUAACACGUGAAUAAUCUGCCCUCGAGAUCGGGAUGACAUGGUGAAAACUAUGCUAAUACCGGAUAAGACCACAUUUCGCAGGAAAUGCGGUAAAAGGAGUCUCAAUCUGCACUCGAGGAUGAGUUCGCGCAACAUUAGCUUGUUGGUGAGAUAAAAGCUCACCAAGGCUACGAUGUUUAGCCGGCCUGAGAGGGUGAACGGCCACACUGGAACUGAGACACGGCCCAGACUUCUACGGAAGGCAGCAGUAGGGAAUUUUCCGCAAUGGGCGAAAGCCUGACGGAGCAACGCCGCGUGAGGGACG
RNAcentral lists this ribosomal RNA (389 nucleotides) under uncultured Nitrospina sp. Its description in RNAcentral is "bacterial SSU rRNA". It matches the Rfam family "Bacterial small subunit ribosomal RNA", at positions 29 to 410 of the family's 1533-position model. The record is from RNAcentral. Lineage: Bacteria; Pseudomonadati; Nitrospinota; Nitrospinia; Nitrospinales; Nitrospinaceae.